UAGGCUUCAAGACAUCUGCGUGCUCUAACCCAGGGUCUCCUGCAUCUCUGUCAUCGGUGUCAGUAAAGCAGCAAACCAGAAGAAGGAAACCACCGGGCUUGAGUUCAUUAUCUUCAGUUCACACCUCUGACAAGCUGUUAAAGCCAUGCACAGCAGACCUGAUGGUAAAUUCACACCUUGCGGGACCACCUCACCCUUCCAUUAACCUGGGAAGAGUGCACGUGGAUACAAGGACCUGUGUGCCUUUCCUGAGGCAGCUGGCAGCUGCAGAGGCUGAGGGAAGAAAUGAGCACAACCAUUAUGACCACAAGAAGUAGGAGAAGAAGGAGGAGAAGG
This 336-nucleotide long non-coding RNA is filed under the name Fukomys damarensis (Damara mole-rat). RNAcentral's name for it is "lncRNA (ENSFDAG00000025251.1)". Lineage: Eukaryota; Metazoa; Chordata; Mammalia; Rodentia; Bathyergidae. The record is from RNAcentral.